UUUCGUGCAGGUGGAGAUGCACAGCUGGCCUUUGCGUAGCACUCAAGCGUUGACGACGUGAGUUACUCCGUCCCGCUGGCCCGCUGAUUCCUCCCCCUGACUGAGUGCUUCUGUACUGAUUGAUUUACAGAGAAUCAGGAACGUAAGUCGCCGCAGCAUUAAACGCGGCACGACAAAACGAGCAGCCUAGGCUGCUCUACGGCCUGACACGCGACCGUAAGGAUCGUGUGUGCCGUCGCGGUUUCCGUGAGCCCGGAAACCUA
The sequence is a regulatory RNA element, 263 nucleotides long. It matches the Rfam family "rne-II RNA". The record is from Rfam.